This 470-nucleotide ribosomal RNA is filed under the name uncultured bacterium. RNAcentral describes it as "bacterial SSU rRNA". It matches the Rfam family "Bacterial small subunit ribosomal RNA", at positions 15 to 487 of the family's 1533-position model. The record is from RNAcentral.
GAUCCUGGCUCAGAGCGAACGUUUGCGGCGGGCCUAACACAUGCAAGUCGAACGGGCUAGCAAUAGUCAGUGGCGCACGGGUGCGUAACACGUGGGUAAUCAACCCUUCAGCUCGGGAUAACGCCUUGAAAGGGGCGCUAAUACCGGAUACGACGCGAGGAGCUUCGGCUGCUUGCGGGAAAGAUUCGCAAGGAUCUCUGAAGGACGAGCCUGCGGCCCAUCAGCUAGUUGGUGAGGUAAGAGCUCACCAAGGCGAAGACGGGUAGCUGGUCUGAGAGGAUGAUCAGCCACACUGGAACUGAGACACGGUCCAGACUCCUACGGGAGGCAGCAGUGGGGAAUAUUGCGCAAUGGGCGAAAGCCUGACGCAGCCACGCCGCGUGAGCGAUGAAGGCCUCGGUCGUAAGGACUCUGUGGGAGAGAGAAUAAAGACCUGUGAAGAAUAGGGCCGUUGACGGUAGUCUCCUUAG